ACAGUGUCUGGUGGGUAGUUUGACUGGGGCGGUCUCCUCCUAAAGAGUAACGGAGGAGCACGAAGGUUGGCUAAUCCUGGUCGGACAUCAGGAGGUUAGUGCAAUGGCAUAAGCCAGCUUGACUGCGAGCGUGACGGCGCGAGCAGGUGCGAAAGCAGGUCAUAGUGAUCCGGUGGUUCUGAAUGGAAGGGCCAUCGCUCAACGGAUAAAAGGUACUCCGGGGAUAACAGGCUGAUACCGCCCAAGAGUUCAUAUCGACGGCGGUGUUUGGCACCUCGAUGUCGGCUCAUCACAUCCUGGGGCUGAAGUAGGUCCCAAGGGUAUGGCUGUUCGCCAUUUAAAGUGGUACGCGAGCUGGGUUUAGAACGUCGUGA
RNAcentral lists this ribosomal RNA (374 nucleotides) under Escherichia coli. RNAcentral describes it as "partial 23S ribosomal RNA". It matches the Rfam family "Bacterial large subunit ribosomal RNA", at positions 2251 to 2624 of the family's 2925-position model. Lineage: Bacteria; Pseudomonadati; Pseudomonadota; Gammaproteobacteria; Enterobacterales; Enterobacteriaceae. The record is from RNAcentral.